CGUGUAGGUGGUUUGGUAAGUAGGGCGUGAAAGCUCCCGGCUCAACUGGGAGAGGUCGUUCUAAACUGCCGAGCUAGAGGAUGGUAGAGGGAGGUGGAAUUCCGGGUGUAGCGGUGGAAUGCGCAGAUAUCCGGAGGAACACCAGUGGCGAAAGCGGCCUCCUGGACCAUUCCUGACACUCAGACGCGAAAGCUAGAGUAAGCAAACG
RNAcentral lists this ribosomal RNA (208 nucleotides) under uncultured bacterium. Its description in RNAcentral is "partial 16S ribosomal RNA". It matches the Rfam family "Bacterial small subunit ribosomal RNA", at positions 568 to 774 of the family's 1533-position model. The record is from RNAcentral.